Non-coding RNA from Paralichthys olivaceus (Japanese flounder), 1956 nucleotides. NCBI's taxonomy places the organism in Eukaryota, Metazoa, Chordata, Actinopteri, Pleuronectiformes, Paralichthyidae. The record is from RefSeq and is a predicted model, not a curated record.
AGAGGGACUCUGGAAGUGGCCUACACGCUCAGCUGGGUGGACCCCUGGGAGCCGUUCUACAUAGGGCCCAACACUGUGCCCCUCUACGACGAGAACUUCAAGCAAUAUGGCUUCAAUCGCAUCAGCCAGGCCUGCGAGCUGCACGUGGCCGGAUACAAGUUCUCGGUGCUGAGCUCGGCCUUCGUGGUGCACCGGGGCUUCAAGAUCCAGGGGGAGUUCCACGCCAGGAAAGACGAGGAGAACAAACGCAACCGGGUUCUGUUCCGCAGCUUCAAAGAGGGUCUGAAAGCCAAAUACCCGUCCUCCACAAGAAGGUGCUGAGAGGAGUGAGGACAUCCUGCCAGAGUCCAGCCCCGAUGAUUUCUGCUGAGGUGGUGGACGGACAUUGUUCUGACACUAACCAGCUUCACUCUGGAAUCAGGCUCCCCUGCCCAAAACAUCCUGGUUGUUCUAUGAUCUCUUGUGAUGGUGGCUCAGUCGGAGUUGAAGCUAAUCCAACUCUCGGGCUUAUUUCAAGAAACGUCCCUGAGAGCAGGACAAAGAAUCAAACGUUUAAAAUGUACACGCACUCGAUCAGUGUUCACAGAACAUGAAGGAUGUUUUUGAGCUUGUGCAGAAAACGACCGCAGAGUUUCUACACAUUUAAAGAAAAGCUGAUCAACGCUUCACUGAAACAAUAUCAUUUCUUCAGUAUUAACAGGAAAGACAGAAACAUCACACUGCUGCUGUGGAUCACGUUUUCCAGGGUUUGUCUUGCCUGCCGUGGUAAAACACUCGGGGACAUGUAGAGGACACAAGAGUCCAGAGCUUUUCACGGUAACAGUGGACGCCAGUGUCUUUGUGCUGUAAACAACAAGCAGAAUUGAGACGUCAUGUCCUGCCUCCUGUUGCCGUCUCGUCUGAAUGUCCCAGACACGAUCCUGAUGUUGUGACGGCGUCUGAACCGAACAAUCCUCCUGCUGCUUCAUAUGUGAAAGACAAACUCUGGAAAAAUGUCCAGAAAGAGUUCAAGACUGAAGAGAGCUGCAGGGCGUCUCUUUGACUUCUGUGCCAACCAGUGCUGUGCUCCUGCCACCAGAUGGCAGCUCGGUGUUGAGAGCCUGGUGUAUUUUAGCGUUAGCAGAACACGGGGAUUACACAACAUCAUACGUGUUCUUACUCACACGUCACCAGGACAACAAAGCACUGGACAACUUUAUAUAGAGACGUAGUAGAAGACGAGCAGACGCUGUGAGAACUCCCGUGUUACAACACUGAGGAUCUGAUAUGCAGCUGAUUAGAUGAAAGCUUGAGUUAUUAGGACGAGUAUAUACGAGUGAUGUGGACGUGGUCAGUACGUAGACAGAUAAAAAUACUGCAUCAUCAAAGUGAAAACUACAAAAUCAGCCUGUGUUGUUAAAGCUGUGGACAAACCACUAGAAUACAAAUGACAGAGGUUUCAUUUUGUUGUGUAUCCCACUGGUACACACGGUGUCAACCCUCUUUCCUCCCGUUAGUGAAACACACACAGAGCAAAUAUGUUGAGUUACUUUUAACACUGGAAUAGUUUUGUCUCCUUCACUUGUCAUGUUUGAUAUAUUUAUUGCCGAAAUGUUUUUAACUGGAAUUGGUUGAGGUGUUUUGUUUUUGUUUUUUUUAAAUGACCCCAAGCAGGAAAAACUGUAGCACGCAAUUGUGUGAUUGUGCAAAAAAAAAAAAAGACGACGGUACAGAACAUUUAGAGUUUUUGUUUUAGAAGCACAAUGAACUUGGUGUUUUUGAAGUGAAAUCAAUUUCAACAAAUGACCUUUGUGAUAAGUGGAGUGGUGCUUUAUUCGUCACGUGUCUCUUCCUCACCUGAAAAUGCAGUUUUUGUUUAGUAUUUAUAUAUUUUUGUUGCGUGAUAAAAUAUGAUGCCUGAUUUGUUUUGUUGAAAUUUAUAUUAAACCUUCUGGACGACUUGUAUCUGACCCUCAA